RNAcentral lists this ribosomal RNA (914 nucleotides) under uncultured beta proteobacterium. RNAcentral describes it as "bacterial SSU rRNA". It matches the Rfam family "Bacterial small subunit ribosomal RNA", at positions 8 to 916 of the family's 1533-position model. Lineage: Bacteria; Pseudomonadati; Pseudomonadota; Betaproteobacteria. The record is from RNAcentral.
AGAGUUUGAUCCUGGCUCAGAUUGAACGCUGGCGGAAUGCUUUACACAUGCAAGUCGGGCGGCAGCGCGGGGGCAACCCUGGCGGCGAGCGGCGAACGGGUGAGUAAUGCAUCGGAACGUACCCAGUCAUGGGGGAUAACUGUCCGAAAGGACAGCUAAUACCGCAUACGCCCUGAGGGGGAAAGCGGGGGAUCGCAAGACCUCGCGUGAUUGGAGCGGCCGAUGCCGGAUUAGCUAGUUGGUGGGGUAAAGGCUCACCAAGGCGACGAUCCGUAGCUGGUCUGAGAGGACGACCAGCCACACUGGAACUGAGACACGGUCCAGACUCCUACGGGAGGCAGCAGUGGGGAAUUUUGGACAAUGGGGGCAACCCUGAUCCAGCCAUUCCGCGUGAGUAAAGAAGGCCUUCGGGUUGUAAAGCUCUUUCGGCAGGGAAGAAAAGGCGGGCUCUAACAUAGCCUGUUCAUGACGGUACCUGAAGAAGAAGCACCGGCUAACUACGUGCCAGCAGCCGCGGUAAUACGUAGGGUGCGAGCGUUAAUCGGAAUUACUGGGCGUAAAGCGUGCGCAGGCGGUUUCGUAAGACAGAUGUGAAAUCCCCGGGCUUAACCUGGGAACUGCGUUUGUGACGGCGAGACUAGAGUGCGGCAGAGGGGGGUGGAAUUCCACGUGUAGCAGUGAAAUGCGUAGAGAUGUGGAGGAACACCGAUGGCGAAGGCAGCCCCCUGGGUCGACACUGACGCUCAUGCACGAAAGCGUGGGGAGCAAACAGGAUUAGAUACCCUGGUAGUCCACGCCCUAAACGAUGCCAACUAGGUGUUGGGGAAGGAGACUUCCUUAGUACCGUAGCUAACGCGUGAAGUUGGCCGCCUGGGGAGUACGGUCGCAAGAUUAAAACUCAAAGGAAUUGACGG